RNAcentral lists this ribosomal RNA (133 nucleotides) under Chlamydiia bacterium. RNAcentral's name for it is "partial 16S ribosomal RNA". It matches the Rfam family "Bacterial small subunit ribosomal RNA", at positions 1 to 136 of the family's 1533-position model. The record is from RNAcentral. Lineage: Bacteria; Pseudomonadati; Chlamydiota; Chlamydiia.
UUUAUUGAGAAUUUGAUCUUGGUUCAGAUUGAAUGCUGACGGCGUGGAUGAGGCAUGCAAGUCGCACGAAGUAAGAACUCGUUCUUACUUAGUGGCGGAAGGGUUAGUAAUACAUGCGCAACUUGCCUCUUAC